AUGUCGUGGCUUAUUGCCACAUGCUGUCUUACUGCCCCAUGUCGUGGCUUAUUGCCACGUGCUGUGUCUUACUGUGUGCUGUGGCUUAUUGCCACGUGCUCUGUCUUACUGCCCCAUGUCGUGGCUUAUUGCCACGUGCUCUGUCUUACUGCCCCAUGUCGUGGCUUAUUGCCACAUGCUGUCUUACUGCCCCAUGUCGUGGCUUAUUGCCACAUGCUGUCUUACUGCCCCAUGUCGUGGCUUAUUGCCACGCACUGUGUCUUACUGUGUGCUGUGGCUUAUUGCCACAUGUUGUGUCUUACUGUGUGCUGUGGCUUAUUGCCACGUGCUCUGUCUUACUGCCCUGUGUCGUGGCUUAUUGCCACACACUGUGUCUUACUGUGUGCCGUGGCUUAUUGCCACAUGCUCUGUCUUACUGUGUGCUGUGGCUUAUUGCCACGUGCCUUUGGUCAUUGCUGUGAGUUGUGGGUCGUCGCUGCAGGUUGUGCGCUAUGGCCACGGAUCGUGGGUGAUGACCUUGUGGUAGCUUGUGGCCACCUGCUGCCGGUUACUUCCACGGGAGACCACUUAUUGCCACGGACGGCUCCCCUCUGUUAACUAAGGGCCCCCACAGUCUCCUUCAUGCCCCCCAGUGCCGCUUUCCCCGCUCAGUCAUCAGGGAUGUGUGGGGGAUGUCAGUGGUCUGAGAGGGCUGUGGCGGGGGCAGCGCCCCGAAGACUUUCACACACUCGCUUCUAAGCCGUUUCCCCCACCUGGUGCAGGCAGGGGCCGGACCGUCCCGUCCCAGAGGGAAGGAGCAAUUCCUUGAUUUGUCCCCGAGUUCUGCUUCGCUCCCGAGCUUCCUUGCCCAGCGGUCAGCCGGGGGGUGCAGAGGCCGCCUAGGACGGCCCCUCCCUCGCGGGGGCUUUUCUGCAGUGAGGGAGCUGCAGGAUCAGGAAUCUGUCUGUCUGUCCUCUGGCUCUGGCGGGCCACACGAAGCUGCCACAGAGCGGGCCGGCCCUCUUGGUGCCGCCUGUGCCCCUGCUGGCCCACAACGCCCAGGCCGGCCCCCGGUCUCAGGCUGUGGCCGCAGGAGCCACCAUCUCCUCAGGAUCUCGG
This 1098-nucleotide long non-coding RNA is filed under the name Monodelphis domestica (gray short-tailed opossum). RNAcentral describes it as "lncRNA (ENSMODG00000049209.1)". The record is from RNAcentral. Lineage: Eukaryota; Metazoa; Chordata; Mammalia; Didelphimorphia; Didelphidae.